RNAcentral lists this ribosomal RNA (480 nucleotides) under Triticum aestivum (bread wheat). RNAcentral's name for it is "partial small subunit ribosomal RNA". Lineage: Eukaryota; Viridiplantae; Streptophyta; Magnoliopsida; Poales; Poaceae. The record is from RNAcentral.
AUGACCCUUUUUACACUUGGCAUAAGCUUAACCUUAUUGAUCCUCUACUGUUUAAGGAUGUUUGAUUAUGAGGAUGUUACUAUUGGCUCAUGGAUGCUUGCCAUGAAUGUAAAUCAUGAAGACAACCGUGCAAUGUGUGAUUCCACAUGCACUCCCAGCUCCAUUGCUGUAUGGGACAGCAAGAUAUGUUCAGGCUCUUGUAACCCCAUUGAGAAAAUAAAGGAGCUGCACAACACAACUUUGUGCUCAAAAAGCCCAACAUUACCGCCUGAAGUGGAGGAGGAAGACCUCUUGCUGCCGGAGGACACGUGCAGAAGAUACCACAAGACCAGCGGGGUAUUUGAGUGCAUACCACCAAUUGAUCGUGCAAACAACGUCCGCGUUAGGUUCAGUAUGAUCAGGGUUAUUUAUAGUUGGUGCCAUCUGAUUCCAGUUGUCUGGCCCCAUCUUGUGAUGGUUGUAAUUAUGCUCGUUGCUUAG